AUUGAACGCUGGCGGCAUGCCUUACACAUGCAAGUCGAACGGUAACAGGUCUUCGGAUGCUGACGAGUGGCGAACGGGUGAGUAAUACAUCGGAACGUGCCUAGUAGUGGGGGAUAACUACUCGAAAGAGUGGCUAAUACCGCAUGAGAUCUACGGAUGGAAGCAGGGGAUCGCAAGACCUUGUGCUACUCGAGCGGCCGAUGGCAGAUUAGGUUGUUGGUGGGAUAAAAGCUUACCAAGCCGACGAUCUGUAGCUGGUCUGAGAGGACGAUCAGCCACACUGGGACUGAGACACGGCCCAGACUCCUACGGGAGGCAGCAGUGGGGAAUUUUGGACAAUGGGCGAAAGCCUGAUCCAGCAAUGCCGCGUGCAGGAUGAAGGCCUUCGGGUUGUAAACUGCUUUUGUACGGAACGAAAAGCCCCGGGUUAAUACCCUGGGGUCAUGACGGUACCGUAAGAAUAAGCACCGGCUAACUACGUGCCAGCCGCCGCAGUAA
Molecule: ribosomal RNA, 498 nt
Filed under: uncultured bacterium
Lineage: Bacteria
Description: partial 16S ribosomal RNA
Rfam family: Bacterial small subunit ribosomal RNA
Source: RNAcentral